This 740-nucleotide ribosomal RNA is filed under the name uncultured bacterium. RNAcentral describes it as "bacterial SSU rRNA". It matches the Rfam family "Bacterial small subunit ribosomal RNA", at positions 8 to 796 of the family's 1533-position model. The record is from RNAcentral.
AGAGUUUGAUCCUGGCUCAGAACGAACGCUGGCGGCAGGCUUAACACAUGCAAGUCGAACGCCCCGCAAGGGGAGUGGCAGACGGGUGAGUAACGCGUGGGAACAUACCCUUCGGUUCGGAAUAGCUCAGGGAAACUUGAAUUAAUACCGGAUACGUCCGCGAGGAGAAAGAUUCAUCGCCGGAGGAUUGGCCCGCGUCUGAUUAGCUAGUUGGUGAGGUAACGGCUCACCAAGGCGACGAUCAGUAGCUGGUCUGAGAGGAUGAUCAGCCACACUGGGACUGAGACACGGCCCAGACUCCUACGGGAGGCAGCAGUGGGGAAUAUUGGACAAUGGGCGCAAGCCUGAUCCAGCCAUGCCGCGUGAGUGAUGAAGGCCUUAGGGUUGUAAAGCUCUUUUACCCGGGAAGAUAAUGACGGUACCGGGAGAAUAAGCCCCGGCUAACUUCGUGCCAGCAGCCGCGGUAAUACGAAGGGGGCUAGCGUUGUUCGGAAUCACUGGGCGUAAAGCGCACGUAGGCGGAUCCUUAAGUCAGGGGUGAAAUGCCGGGGCUCAACCUCGGAACUGCCUUUGAUACUGGGGAUCUUGAGUUCGGGAGAGGUGAGUGGAACUGCGAGUGUAGAGGUGAAAUUCGUAGAUAUUCGCAAGAACACCAGUGGCGAAGGCGGCUCACUGGCCCGAUACUGACGCUGAGGUGCGAAAGCGUGGGGAGCAAACAGGAUUAGAUACCCUAGUAGUCC